CGGGAAUUUUGGGCAAUGGGCGAAAGCCUGACCCAGCAACGCCGCGUGAGGGAUGAAGUAUUUCGGUAUGUAAACCUCGAAAGAAUGGGAAGAAUAAAUGACGGUACCAUUUAAAAGCUCCGGCUAACUACGUGCCAGCAGCCGCGGUAAUACGUAGGGAGCAAGCGUUGUUCGGAUUUACUGGGCGUAAAGGGCGCGUAGGCGGCGCGGUAAGUCACUUGUGAAAUCUCUGAGCUUAACUCAGAACGGCCAAGUGAUACUGCUGUGCUAGAGUGCGGAAGAGGCAACCGGAAUUCUUGGUGUAGCGGUGAAAUGCGUAGAUAUCAAGAGGAACACCUGAGGCGAAGGCGGGUUGCUGGGCCGACACUGACGCUGAUGCGCGAAAGCCAGGGGAGCAAACG
This 401-nucleotide ribosomal RNA is filed under the name uncultured bacterium. RNAcentral's name for it is "bacterial SSU rRNA". It matches the Rfam family "Bacterial small subunit ribosomal RNA", at positions 356 to 774 of the family's 1533-position model. The record is from RNAcentral.